Molecule: transfer RNA, 70 nt
Filed under: Tesseropora rosea
Lineage: Eukaryota; Metazoa; Arthropoda; Thecostraca; Balanomorpha; Tetraclitidae
Description: tRNA-Ser
Rfam family: tRNA
About the family: Transfer RNA (tRNA) molecules are approximately 80 nucleotides in length.
Source: RNAcentral
AGCUGUUUGGCUGACAGGUAAGCAGGUGCUUUGAAAGCAUUUUAGAGAAGUUCGAAUCUUCUAACAGUUU